AACCCAUGGUGAGGGCACCUUCUCAAUAGAUCUUUGUAUCUCUCCCAUGCAUCAUAAAGUGUUUCUAAAUCCAUCUGCACAAAAGAAGAGAUAUCAUUCCUUAAUUU
This is a non-coding RNA of Gossypium hirsutum (cotton), 107 nucleotides long. NCBI's taxonomy places the organism in Eukaryota, Viridiplantae, Streptophyta, Magnoliopsida, Malvales, Malvaceae. The record is from Rfam.